Molecule: transfer RNA, 91 nt
Filed under: Cobetia sp. AM6
Lineage: Bacteria; Pseudomonadati; Pseudomonadota; Gammaproteobacteria; Oceanospirillales; Halomonadaceae
Description: tRNA-Ser
Source: RNAcentral
UGGGUGUGGGUCAGGUCGCGACCUACGCAAGCUGGGUGGAUCAACCGGCGCUGCCGCAGGGCACGCGGGAUCUCGGCCUGCGCACCCAGCC